This 1498-nucleotide ribosomal RNA is filed under the name Salmonella bongori. RNAcentral describes it as "bacterial SSU rRNA". It matches the Rfam family "Bacterial small subunit ribosomal RNA". Lineage: Bacteria; Pseudomonadati; Pseudomonadota; Gammaproteobacteria; Enterobacterales; Enterobacteriaceae. The record is from RNAcentral.
UUGAUCAUGGCUCAGAUUGAACGCUGGCGGCAGGCCUAACACAUGCAAGUCGAACGGUAACAGGAAGCAGCUUGCUGCUUCGCUGACGAGUGGCGGACGGGUGAGUAAUGUCUGGGAAACUGCCUGAUGGAGGGGGAUAACUACUGGAAACGGUGGCUAAUACCGCAUAACGUCGCAAGACCAAAGAGGGGGACCUUCGGGCCUCUUGCCAUCAGAUGUGCCCAGAUGGGAUUAGCUUGUUGGUGGGGUAACGGCCCACCAAGGCGACGAUCCCUAGCUGGUCUGAGAGGAUGACCAGCCACACUGGAACUGAGACACGGUCCAGACUCCUACGGGAGGCAGCAGUGGGGAAUAUUGCACAAUGGGCGCAAGCCUGAUGCAGCCAUGCCGCGUGUAUGAAGAAGGCCUUCGGGUUGUAAAGUACUUUCAGCGGGGAGGAAGGCGAUAAGGUUAAUAACCUUGUUGAUUGACGUUACCCGCAGAAGAAGCACCGGCUAACUCCGUGCCAGCAGCCGCGGUAAUACGGAGGGUGCAAGCGUUAAUCGGAAUUACUGGGCGUAAAGCGCACGCAGGCGGUCUGUCAAGUCGGAUGUGAAAUCCCCGGGCUGAACCUGGGAACUGCAUCCGAAACUGGCAAGCUUGAGUCUCGUAGAGGGGGGUAGAAUUCCAGGUGUAGCGGUGAAAUGCGUAGAGAUCUGGAGGAAUACCGGUGGCGAAGGCGGCCCCCUGGACGAAGACUGACGCUCAGGUGCGAAAGGGUGGGGAGCAAACAGGAUUAGAUACCCUGGUAGUCCACGCCGUAAACGAUGUCGACUUGGAGGUUGUGCCCUUGAGGCGUGGCUUCCGGAGCUAACGCGUUAAGUCGACCGCCUGGGGAGUACGGCCGCAAGGUUAAAACUCAAAUGAAUUGACGGGGGCCCGCACAAGCGGUGGAGCAUGUGGUUUAAUUCGAUGCAACGCGAAGAACCUUACCUGGUCUUGACAUCCACAGAACUUAGCAGAGAUGCUUUGGUGCCUUCGGGAACUGUGAGACAGGUGCUGCAUGGCUGUCGUCAGCUCGUGUUGUGAAAUGUUGGGUUAAGUCCCGCAACGAGCGCAACCCUUAUCCUUUGUUGCCAGCGAUCAGGUCGGGAACUCAAAGGAGACUGCCAGUGAUAAACUGGAGGAAGGUGGGGAUGACGUCAAGUCAUCAUGGCCCUUACGACCAGGGCUACACACGUGCUACAAUGGCGCAUACAAAGAGAAGCGACCUCGCGAGAGCAAGCGGACCUCAUAAAGUGCGUCGUAGUCCGGAUUGGAGUCUGCAACUCGACUCCAUGAAGUCGGAAUCGCUAGUAAUCGUGGAUCAGAAUGCCACGGUGAAUACGUUCCCGGGCCUUGUACACACCGCCCGUCACACCAUGGGAGUGGGUUGCAAAAGAAGUAGGUAGCUUAACCUUCGGGAGGGCGCUUACCACUUUGUGAUUCAUGACUGGGGUGAAGUCGUAACAAGGUAACC